Molecule: ribosomal RNA, 857 nt
Filed under: Phyllocoptes sp. FJ13_1
Lineage: Eukaryota; Metazoa; Arthropoda; Arachnida; Trombidiformes; Eriophyidae
Description: partial large subunit ribosomal RNA
Rfam family: Eukaryotic large subunit ribosomal RNA
Source: RNAcentral
AAAUAGAACUUUGCAGAGAGAGUUAACAGGGCGUGAAACCGUUAAUUGGCAAACGAAUCGGAGCCACGAAGUCGUUUCGUUGUUUGUUUGGGUUCAGAUUAACCAGCAAUGGUUGGUUGUAUUCUCAGGCAAACCUUGUAAGCGUACACUGCAACCAGUUAGACAAUUGAUCAUGGGCACAGUACUCGAGUUAGUAGUAGCAUUGCUGAUUUCGGUUAGUUUAUGUUGCUGGACUUGUGGUAGGUGAACUAUGAUCAAAUACUGACUGGCAAAAUGAAAAUCGUGAAAACGUUUUACAAAAUGCGCUGCCUAUACUAUGGGCUACAUGUUGGACCAUGCGGUUUUAAGCUCAGCAUUUUUGAAUUUGGACUUGCUUGCUACCAGUGGGGCAACUCCUGGUGCUUGUAUAGCUUCCAUCUAAUCGGGUGUUGACUUGAUUGUAUGUUGUUCUCAAUAUGAAUCGUUUGGUUUGUAGUAUAAGGUGAGUCGCCAUUUUAUUGGCAGUGAGUAGGUCGGCUUUCCGAACGACCCGUCUUGAAACACGGACCAAGGAGUUUAAUUAGGCAUCAAGUCGAUCGGUCUUGAAUAGGCCAGACUGGGUGAUUUCAUCCGAUAAGGCGUAGAGACAAUCAUGUGAUCAUGUUCACCAAAAGGGUAAUAUGCGCAACAUGUGCCUGUUCGUAUAGCAUUGUAGCAAUAAAUGCUGGCGGAGCAAAGAGAUGCCUGAUUGGUACCCGAAAGAUGGUGAUGCUUGGGCAAAUUGAAGCCAGAGGAAACUCUGGUGGAGGAUUUAGGAUUCUGACGUGCAAAUCGAUCGUCAGACCUGAGUAUAGGGGCGAAAGACUAAUCGAACCAUC